GUAGACAGCACCCGGACUUCCCCGGUGGUCACCCACCCGAGUACUACCCGAGCUUGAGGCUGCUUAACUUCGCAGAGCGAACGGGAU
RNAcentral lists this ribosomal RNA (87 nucleotides) under Pythium sp. AP. The record is from RNAcentral. Lineage: Eukaryota; Oomycota; Peronosporomycetes; Pythiales; Pythiaceae.